CUUGGUCAUUUAGAGGAAGUAAAAGUCGUAACAAGGUUUCCGUAGGUGAACCUGCGGAAGGAUCAUUAAGGAAUUUUUAUUGAACCAUAGGCGAGAGGCAGUGGAUGUUGUAUCAUAUCCCUAUCACCUUGCUGUCACUGUUGCAUGCUUGCAUCCAGAGUUAAAUCUAAACAUUAUUGUAACAAAUGUAGUAUGUAUUAUAACAUAUAUAAAACUUUCUACAAGGGAUCUCUUGGCGAUUGGAUAGCAGAAGAACGCAGCGAAAUGCAAUGAGUAAUGUGAAAAGCAUAAUUCAAUGAAUCAUUGAAUAUUUGAACUCACCUUGCGCUCCUUGGUGAUGAGAGGAGCGUGCCUGUUUGAGUGUCAUGAAACCCUGAAAUCCAAGUUUUGCAUUUCGAUCCAUGCUUGAGUGCGGAUUUGGAUGUUUGCCCGUCAUGAACCGACUCAUCUUAAAAGUAUUAACUUGGAUCUGUCUAUAGGAGGGGUUUGACUUGUCAUAAUAACUAUUUUGCUGAGGACAUACUAGGAGGGGCAGGACCUAAACUACUGUCUGCUACUAUAACCUCACUUUAAGUGCAUCUUUGGAUGUUACUCAUUGUCGUAACUUUUACAUCUGGCCUCAAAUCAAGUAGGGAUACCCGCUGAACUUAAGCAUAUCAAUAAGCGGAGGA
RNAcentral lists this ribosomal RNA (671 nucleotides) under uncultured fungus. Its description in RNAcentral is "eukaryotic LSU rRNA". The stretch from base 213 to 366 matches the Rfam family "5.8S ribosomal RNA". Lineage: Eukaryota; Fungi. The record is from RNAcentral.